This 495-nucleotide ribosomal RNA is filed under the name uncultured bacterium. Its description in RNAcentral is "partial 16S ribosomal RNA". It matches the Rfam family "Bacterial small subunit ribosomal RNA", at positions 28 to 507 of the family's 1533-position model. The record is from RNAcentral.
GACGAACGCUGGCGGCGUGCCUAAUACAUGCAAGUAGAACGCUGAAGGAGGAGCUUGCUUCUCUGGAUGAGUUGCGAACGGGUGAGUAACGUGUAGGUAACCUGCCUGGUAGCGGGGGAUAACUAUUGGAAACGAUAGCUAAUACCGCAUAAUAGUAGAUGUUGCAUGACAUUUGCUUAAAAGGUGCAAUUGCAUCACUACCAGAUGGACCUGCGUUGUAUUAGCUAGUUGGUGGGGUAACGGCUCACCAAGGCGACGAUACAUAGCCGACCUGAGAGGGUGAUCGGCCACACUGGGACUGAGACACGGCCCAGACUCCUACGGGAGGCAGCAGUAGGGAAUCUUCGGCAAUGGACGGAAGUCUGACCGAGCAACGCCGCGUGAGUGAAGAAGGGUUUCGGAUCGUAAAGCUCUGUUGUAAGAGAAGAACGAGUGUGAGAGUGGAAAGUUCACACUGUGACGGUAUCUUACCAGAAAGGGACGGCUAACUACGUG